This 493-nucleotide ribosomal RNA is filed under the name uncultured bacterium. RNAcentral's name for it is "partial 16S ribosomal RNA". It matches the Rfam family "Bacterial small subunit ribosomal RNA", at positions 28 to 506 of the family's 1533-position model. The record is from RNAcentral.
GACGAACGCUGACGGCGUGCUUAACACAUGCAAGUCGAACGGUGAAGCGCCUUCCUUUUUGGUGGGUGUGGAUGAGUGGCGAACGGGUGAGUAACACGUGAGUAACCUGCCCCCUUCUUCUGGAUAACCGCAUGAAAGUGUGGCUAAUACGGGAUAUUCUGGGUCUGUCGCAUGAUGGGUCUGGGAAAGAUAUUGUUUCGGUGGGGGAUGGGCUCGCGGCCUAUCAGCUUGUUGGUGGGGUGAUGGCCUACCAAGGCGGUGACGGGUAGCCGGCCUGAGAGGGUGGACGGUCACACUGGGACUGAGACACGGCCCUGACUCCUACGGGAGGCAGCAGUGGGGAAUAUUGCACAAUGGGCGCAAGCCUGAUGCAGCGACGCCGCGUGAGGGAUGGAGGCCUUCGGGUUGUGAACCUCUUUCGCCAGUGAAGCAGGCCUGCCUCGUUUGUGGGUGGGUUGACGGUAGCUGGAUAAGAAGCGCCGGCUAACUACGU